Molecule: non-coding RNA, 444 nt
Filed under: Loxodonta africana (African savanna elephant)
Lineage: Eukaryota; Metazoa; Chordata; Mammalia; Proboscidea; Elephantidae
Description: Bacterial large subunit ribosomal RNA
Rfam family: Bacterial large subunit ribosomal RNA
Source: Rfam by way of RNAcentral
UCUCGUGAAGAGGCGAGAAUAAACAUAUAAGACGAGAAGACCCUAUGGAGCUUAAAUUAACUAAUUUAAUUGCUACCCUAUAAGUCUACAAGAUACAACUAAGUAGCAUGAUAAAUUAACAAUUUUGGUUGGGGUGACCUCGGAGAAGAAAAAAACCUCCGAAUGAUAUUCUAAUUCAGACUCUACAAGUCAAAAUUUACUAAUCACUUAUUGACCAAAUAUAUAUAUUGACCCAAUAGUUGAUCAACGGAACAAGUUACCCUAGGGAUAACAGCGCAAUCCUACUCUAGAGUCCCUAUCGACAGCAGGGUUUACGACCUCGAUGUUGGAUCAGGACAUCCUAAUGGUGCAGCCACUAUUAAGGGUUCGUUUGUUCGACGAUUAAAGUCCUACGUGAUCUGAAUUCAGACCGGAGCAAUCCAGGUCGGUUUCUAUCUAUAGUUU